This 484-nucleotide ribosomal RNA is filed under the name uncultured bacterium. RNAcentral's name for it is "partial 16S ribosomal RNA". It matches the Rfam family "Bacterial small subunit ribosomal RNA", at positions 30 to 507 of the family's 1533-position model. The record is from RNAcentral.
AUUGAACGCUGGCGGCAGGCCUAACACAUGCAAGUCGAGCGGAUGAAGGGAGCUUGCUCCUGUAUUCAGCGGCGGACGGGUGAGUAAUGCCUAGGAAUCUGCCUGGUCGUGGGGGAUAACGUCCGUAAACGGGCGCUAAUACCGCAUACGUCCUGAGGGAGAAAGUGGGGGAUCUUCGGACCUCACGCUAUCAGCUGAGCCUAGGUCGGAUUAGCUAGUUGGUGGGGUAAAGGCCUACCAAGGCGACGAUCCGUAACUGGUCUGAGAGGAUGAUCAGUCACACUGGAACUGAGACACGGUCCAGACUCCUACGGGAGGCAGCAGUGGGGAAUAUUGGACAAUGGGCGAAAGCCUGAUCCAGCAAUGCCGCGUGUGUGAAGAAGGUCUUCGGAUUGUAAAGCACUUUAAGUUGGGAGGAAGGGAAGUAAGUGAAUACCUGGCUGUUUUGACGUUACCAAAAGAAUAAGCACCGGCUAACUUCGUG